CACAGGAGUUAUGCACAAAAGCCCUGAAGAAUAAAGAAUUCAUUUAUGAAGAUAAAUAUUUUAUCCAGCAUAUUAGACAACUGACUCAAGUGUCAUCUUAGCUCUGGCUACCUCAGUAGAGCAGAGGCUGACCAGGUGUUUACACUAGGGUCUAAAGUAAGUUUCUUUUUAUUUAAAAGUAGGAAUACUGGGCCCUGAUAUUGGCUAGCAGGACCAGUCUUACAAUUAAGAGUGAGGAGAUCUGCCUCAGGUAAUAUG
RNAcentral lists this long non-coding RNA (258 nucleotides) under Naja naja (Indian cobra). RNAcentral describes it as "lncRNA (ENSNNAG00000005614.1)". The record is from RNAcentral. Lineage: Eukaryota; Metazoa; Chordata; Lepidosauria; Squamata; Elapidae.